CCGGGUCGUGGUGAUCUCGCCGACAUGUAGUUAGAGAAAACGAACUUCAGCCAAAGUCAAGGCUGACCAGAGAGCACUUCCAAACAGAUGGAAGUGGGGGCGCAGGCAACAGCCUGAGCAGCGGUGCGAGCUGCCUCUUGCUUCUGCGCUGCUCGCUGCUCGGUGCACAACAGAGCAAACCGGUCUGGUUCGUGCAAACGUGGCCCCGACUCCAGCGGAUCACCCGCGGGACAACCUCUGCCCGGAGACGGCCGACUGACGCAUCUGGCCUCAAGUCCCUAUUCAGUCUUUCAGCUCAGCGGCAACCAGACAUUUGGAUUUCAUACCUGGCAAAGUUUUCUAAAACGUUCUUGGGAUCCACAUAGGGUUGCCAACAUUUUCUUUUGUCAAAUAGGACAUGAAAAAGCCGCAAGUCCUACCACCUGUUGCAAGCACUGUGUCACGAAAGGAUAACAAGUAAAAUAAAGGAUAACACUGCCU
Molecule: long non-coding RNA, 480 nt
Organism: Leopardus geoffroyi (Geoffroy's cat)
Lineage: Eukaryota; Metazoa; Chordata; Mammalia; Carnivora; Felidae
Exons: 2
Source: RefSeq, a predicted model, not a curated record